GCUACCCGCAUAACAAAUUACAAUUUGCCAUAAUCUCCAAACAAUAAAUGUCUCGUAUAUGUUAAUGUUAAUGUACCACACACAGUUGCUUUCAUGUUCAACAAUAUGAAGUUCUGUGCAUUCAACUGUAUUUAAUGGUUCAAUCAACCAAUAGCAAGUGGUAACAAUGUAUUAUAUUGUGCAGAUGUUGUUAAAUUAUAUGAGGACGAAAUUUUGCGAGAAAUGGUUGCAAUAUAGAAGCACACUUUGACAAAUGGUUUAUGUUCAUAUUUGUACAACACACUGACACAUGUGCAUUCAACUACAUUUUACUCAUGUCUCACAAUAUGACAAACAGUUGCACACAUUGGUAUUUGUGAGCGGUUGAAACUUGCUCGAACCUUCUUGCAGCUUGUCAUUUUGCAAAGAAAAAAAGAAAAACAAUGGAAUUUAUUUUGAUUGCUGGUGGAGUUUUGGAAAAGCUGUUCCGGGAUAAAUCUGAAACGGCAGAUUUUAUGCAAUUCGUCGUGAACGGAUUUUACCCGGAGGCAUUCGCAGAUCCAGCCCAAUAUCUCCCAGUACCGAUGACCUCCGACAGCUUCAACUUCAUCAUCGUUGAAAACCUCCGGUAGAGCUGAAGACGAAGAAGAAGAACGGUGUCCUUUAACAAAAUUUUGAGGCAUAGUUCCGGUAUUCCACGACUGCUGCUGAUGGCCAGUGGAGCAUAGUGAAGGAUGUUGUAGCCUAGGUUUUUUGUUCUAUAUUUUUUUCUUGGUUAAUUCGCAUUUUCCCAUUCUAUUGGGCUCUUCCCACCAAGUGUGUGAUCGUAAAUUAAACUGCGGUUUUCUCUCGAACCAGCAAAACCUCAGUUUAAUUUCCGAUGCCACACUUGGCGGAAAGGAUCUAGUAGGAUGGGAAUGGUUGCUUGGCAUGAUAAUUGGAGGGUAAGAGUCUUAGGGUCGGUGAUAGAUAUUUGGUGAAUAAAAAAAUCUACAGUAAACGCAUAACCGCCUUUUUAUUUCUAAACGGUUUAAAUACAGCAGAACCACAUUUCAUAAGCUUAAAAUACAUUGAAAGACCAUCAAUCAACAAUAACACAUACAGUGGUCGUUUUCUUUCAAAUUUAUUGUAAAAUUGUUCUCUAACCAUUUGCUUUGCAGUAAAUGCUAUGAAAAACUGGAUAAUAUAUUGACCGUAUCCUUUACUGUAUUGCGAAAAAUUUGUUCGAGAAAACGAGCGAUUUUUUAUGGUAACCUAUCUUAACCGCCUAUUCCUCAUACUGUAAUUUGGCGGAUUACCAUUUGUCAAACUGGCAAAUAUGUACAUAGAAUGGUUAGCUUACUGUUAUCUUGGACAGUCUGAGAAAUGGUUAUAUGUCAAUUGGUAAUAGUCAUCAACAGUAUGAGAAACGUUGCAUUUACAGUUAGUGAUUAUGCGGGUAGA
Molecule: long non-coding RNA, 1422 nt
Organism: Aedes albopictus (Asian tiger mosquito)
Lineage: Eukaryota; Metazoa; Arthropoda; Insecta; Diptera; Culicidae
Exons: 3
Source: RefSeq, a predicted model, not a curated record